This 550-nucleotide ribosomal RNA is filed under the name Leucosporidium muscorum. RNAcentral describes it as "partial large subunit ribosomal RNA". It matches the Rfam family "Eukaryotic large subunit ribosomal RNA", at positions 1 to 570 of the family's 3401-position model. The record is from RNAcentral. Lineage: Eukaryota; Fungi; Basidiomycota; Microbotryomycetes; Leucosporidiales; Leucosporidiaceae.
AGAUCAGGCAGGAUUACCCGCUGAACUUAAGCAUAUCAAUAAGCGGAGGAAAAGAAACUAACAAGGAUUCCCCUAGUAACGGCGAGUGAAGCGGGAAGAGCUCAAAUUUGUAAUCUGGCACUUUCAGUGUCCGAGUUGUAAUCUCGAGAAGUAUUUUCCGCGCCGGACUGCAUACAAGUCUGUUGGAAUACAGCGUCAUAGUGGUGAGAACCCCGUAACUGAUGCAGAUGCCCGGUGCUUUGUGAUAUACUUUCGAAGAGUCGAGUUGUUUGGGAAUGCAGCUCAAAUUGGGUGGUAAAUUCCAUCUAAAGCUAAAUAUUGGAGCAAGACCGAUAGCGAACAAGUACCGUGAGGGAAAGAUGAAAAGCACUUUGGAAAGAGAGUUAACAGUACGUGAAAUUGUUGGAAGGGAAACGCUUGAAGUCAGACUUGCUAUUCGGAGUUCAGCCGCAAGGUGUAUUCUUCGAUUUGCAGGCCAGCAUCAGUUUUCGGGGGUGGAAAAUCGUGGUUUGAAGGUAGCAACUUCGGUUGUGUUAUAGCUUUCCACUGG